Molecule: long non-coding RNA, 857 nt
Organism: Mustela erminea (ermine)
Lineage: Eukaryota; Metazoa; Chordata; Mammalia; Carnivora; Mustelidae
Exons: 3
Source: RefSeq, a predicted model, not a curated record
UGGGUAUCCUGAAAAGAGUCGAUGGUGGCCUGGACAGGAUGGUGGUGGGAGUUGAUGGGGGCAGUUUUGUAGAGCUUAGGUGCCUCAUUCACGAGAUAAAAUCGAGAAGGACUUGCACUGUGGGGGGUUGUACACAAGCCCGGGCUUUCUCCCCCUUUGACCUGAGACAUAGCGGCUCUCACAGCUUGAGCACCACCCUCUGAAGAGCUGCAGAUCCCAGAAAUGCUGAAAUCGUCCUUUAGAGGAAGCAUUCACUUGAAACAACAAAAGAUUAGAGAAACCUUAAAAAUGCUGGAUUUUCUUUACCUUUUGAGGAAGGCCAGCUGGAACCUUCUGAAAUUAUUCCUAUCCAGUGUGCAGCCACAAACAGUACUGAUGGUGAGGAUAAAAUAUUAUUUUUGUAAAUUGCAUGUGGAUACAGCAGUGCCACUUAAUCAGAUGCUCCUUAGCGGAUGGUGGGAACGGAGACCACAGCCAAGACCGAGGAGACUGCUGCGGCACAAAGAGGCCCGGAUUAAGAUUCAGAAGAGAGCAAAUGGCCCGCGAUCAUUCUGGCACAUACUUGAAUGUAACAUUCUAGGAACACCCAUUUUUUAAAAUUAAUUAUUUUUUUAACUGUAGUAAAAUAUAAAUAACGUCAAAUGUAUCAUUUAAUCAAGUUUAAGUGCACAAUUAAAUGACAUUCAGAACAUUCACAUUUUUGUACAAUCCUCGCCACUCGUCUACCUCCUGAACUUUUUCCAUCUUCCUCAGCUGAAAUUCUGGACUUCCCCCGAGCCCCUGGUGACCACCCUUCUAUUUUGUCUGCAUGAAUUCAACUACUCCAGGUGCCUCAAAGAAGCGGAUUCCUACAGUUU